UUUUUCUAAACUUAUCUUUUAUAAAUUAGCUAUUUUAAGAAAAGUGCUUUUUCUCUAUUUUCAGAUUUGGUAAUUAAUGUGUUGUGAAUUGUGGUAAGUCGGGCAUAACUGUAAUUGGGGGCUCAAUUUGAUUAUGAAACUUUUGUAGUUAUAUAUUCAUGGAGGCAUAUUUUUGGUCUCUAUGGGUAUUGAAUUAAUUUGUAGUUAUAUUUCUAUGUUGUAUGAUAUGUUGCACUGAAUUUACAAACAAUAAAGUAAAAAAAAUAUUGACUAUUUAAAGUAAUUCACUUGCAAUAAUUCUACUAAUAAAUUAUAAUAAUAAUGAAUAUAUGAAUUAAUAUAUCACUAAAAUAAAAUUAAAAGUAUCUAAUCUUUUCUUUUUCUCACUUUUUAUUUUUAAUUAUUUUAAAAAUUUAUAUUAAACUACUUGAAUUCCCUUAUAAAUAUAUACAUAUAGUAAUUCAUCAAUUUCUUAUAGGAUUAGGAAUGAAUAUGAAAUUAUGAUAGGAUUAGGAUUGAAUUAGAUUAAUCACUAAUAAGUUCUAAUAUGAUUAAAAAUAUAUUAAAUUAAAUUAAUUAUAUAUAGAAUUAGGAUAAAAUUAGUAAUUAUUAAUUAUUUCUAAAAAUAUUUUAGUCAAUUUAAAAUGUUUUCUUCUUUUUCCUGUUUAUAUAUAAAUAGAUUGUAUAUAUGAUUUCUUUUAAACGUUUUUAUAAAAUAAUUCCUUUUACCUAUAAAUCUGAUUAGAAACUGAAAUAUUUUCUAUAGAAUUUGGAAAUGGACAAUGGUAGUUUAGACUUUAAUUAUGGGAUAAUUAUUAUUUGCACUCUCUCUUUUUCUAUAUUAUACUAGUUAUUAUUUAAUAUUUAAAAAUUAUAUAUUUUUAUCUUUUUAUCGUGUAGUUUUAUAUUACAAGGUCAUUUCGACGAGAAUUGCCGUUAAACAAUAGUUAGCUAAGUUUGAUUUUAUACUAUUUAUUUCUUGGUUUUUAGUGUAAUACAUAAAUUGCCUCUUAAAGUUUGUUUAUUACAUUAGGACCCUAUUAUUUUUCAAUAAAACUAAUUAUUAUACCUUUCAUGUAAAUUCAAGACAAUUAGAUGACUAAAUUGAUAAAACAAGUUUUGGUCUUUGUUUUCAAUUCAUACCAUUACUUUAAUUUUUUUUUUGAUACCAAAAUAUUAAUUUCUGUUACGUGGACGAUGAGUGGAAUUUUGAUAUGGAGCUCCUCCCUCCACGUCAUUAAAUUUGAUUAGAUUCCCAAUGGGUUUCAUUGCUUGUAACAUAAAUUAAAAUUUUAGUACUAGAAAGAAAAAAUUAAAGUAUUGGUAUUAAUUAGAAACCCAGACUAAAAUUUUGGCACCAACCAAGCUAUUACCCCACCAAAAAUCAUUAACUAAUAUUUUUUUACCCAAACUUUUAGUGUAAUCUAAUUCUAACAAAAUUUAAAUAUUUUAAAAGUAUUUACAUUUAGCAAAAUAUUAUAAAUUCAUAUAAUUUAACUUUAAAUUAAUAAAAUAAAAUAAAUAUUAUUCUUAUUAUUAAUUUUGUUGCAAUAGAAUUGUAAUUUUGUAGGAAAUUUAAGGAUCAAAUUAUAUAUUUUUUUAGAAAUUUAAGGAUCAAUUUUUUUUUUCAAUUUAGAUUUUUAAUUAUAUCAACUUUCAAAAUGCAAGGGGGAGAUUUUAGAACAAUAAAUAAAAUAUACAGGGCAAUUUAUAUAUUAUACAAAAAAAAAGGAGCAAAUAGUAUAAAACCAAUUGUAAUUAACCAUUGUUUAAAGAAAUUUCUAAUUAAAGAUUUUAUAGUAUAAAAUUAUAAAAUAAAAAGAUGAAGAAAUAUAAUUUUUAAACAUUAAAGGGUAAUUAGUAUAAAAUGAAAAAAUAUAUAAGAUAGAUAUUAAUUAUCCUUUUAAUUAUGUAUAAAAUAAUAUUUUAUGCCGCUAGAUAAGUUGAGUAUAUACUGAUUUGAGGGGCUUGUAUGAUCAAUAUCUUAGAUAUUGGGUGUUGAUUAAAUAAAAGAAAAGAAAAGUGAUAAAAAACUGUCUAUGAGAAAACAUUCAGUAUGCAAAUGCCUUUGAGAUAUAUUAUUGGAUGGUCGCUUUUUUAGAAGCAUUGUCUACGCACGUAUGAUAGAGUUUCAUGCUUAGAGUUGCUAGGAAAGAGAUCUUCACCUAUAUUAUGGCUAUGAUCAUUAGGGU
This 2192-nucleotide long non-coding RNA is filed under the name Ricinus communis (castor bean). RNAcentral describes it as "long non-coding RNA (RCOM_LNC003205)". The record is from RNAcentral. Lineage: Eukaryota; Viridiplantae; Streptophyta; Magnoliopsida; Malpighiales; Euphorbiaceae.